Molecule: long non-coding RNA, 140 nt
Organism: Nematolebias whitei (Rio pearlfish)
Lineage: Eukaryota; Metazoa; Chordata; Actinopteri; Cyprinodontiformes; Rivulidae
Exons: 3
Source: RefSeq, a predicted model, not a curated record
GGGCACGUGGUUGAUUUCACAGCCAACUGUAUGACAAGCUGUGCUAAAAUUGAUUUGAUUUUCAAAGAAGGAUCAUGGUUUCUUGCAGUACUCAUCCUACUAGUAGCUGCGCUCACUUUUCUGCUUUUCAAAUUUCGAAA